Molecule: ribosomal RNA, 466 nt
Filed under: uncultured bacterium
Lineage: Bacteria
Description: partial 16S ribosomal RNA
Rfam family: Bacterial small subunit ribosomal RNA
Source: RNAcentral
GAUGAACGCUGGCGGCGUGCUUAACACAUGCCAGUCGAACGAUGAAGCCCAGCUUGCUGGGUGGAUUAGUGGCGAACGGGUGAGUAACACGUGAGUAACCUGCCCUUAACUCUGGGAUAAGCCUGGGAAACUGGGUCUAAUACCGGAUAGGAGCGCCUACCGCAUGGUGGGUGUUGGAAAGAUUUAUCGGUUUUGGAUGGACUCGCGGCCUAUCAGCUUGUUGGUGAGGUAAUGGCUCACCAAGGCGACGACGGGUAGCCGGCCUGAGAGGGUGACCGGCCACACUGGGACUGAGACACGGCCCAGCCUCCUACGGGGGGCAGCAGUGGGGAAUAUUGCACAAUGGGCGAAAGCCUGAUGCAGCGACGCCGCGUGAGGGAUGACGGCCUUCGGGUUGUAAACCUCUUUCAGUAGGGAAGAAGCGAAAGUGACGGUACCUGCAGAAGAAGCACCGGCUAACUACGUG